RNAcentral lists this ribosomal RNA (465 nucleotides) under uncultured bacterium. Its description in RNAcentral is "partial 16S ribosomal RNA". It matches the Rfam family "Bacterial small subunit ribosomal RNA", at positions 338 to 795 of the family's 1533-position model. The record is from RNAcentral.
CCUACGGGCGGCAGCAGUAGGGAAUCUUCCACAAUGGGCGAAAGCCUGAUGGAGCAACGCCGCGUGGGUGAUGAAGGUCUUCGGAUCGUAAAACCCUGUUGUUAGAGAAGAAAGUGCGUGAGCGUAACUGUUCACGUUUCGACGGUAUCUAACCAGAUAGCCUAGGCUAACUACGUGCCAGCAGCCGCGGUAAUACGUAGGUGCCAAGCGUUAUCCGGAUUUAUUGGGCGUAAAGGGAACGCAGGCGGGCGUUUAAGUCUGAUGUUAAAGCCUUCGGCUUAACCGGAGUAGUGCAUUGGAAACUGGGAGACUUGAGUGCAGAAGAGGAGAGUGGAACUCCAUGUGUAGCGGUGAAAUGCGUAGAUAUAUGGAAGAACACCAGUGGCGAAAGCGGCGCUCUGGGCUGUAACUGACGCUGAGGUUCGAAAGCGUGGGUAGCAAACAGGAUUAGAUACCCUUGUAGUC